GAGAGAGGAGACAGAAAGAGACAGAAAGAGUCUCCAGACAUCAACAGUAUCCCACCAGUCGGCUUCUUUUUUUGUUUAUCUGCCGCCUCCCGACCUCUAGACCACGUACCAAACCGACACAGACACCCAAGAACCCGUGAUAGUCAUCCCAAGAACCCGCCAUAGUCACCCAAGAUCGCGCUCAUCAACACGCCCACCGUUUCAGUCUCAAACUGUCCCGUGUCUGACCGCUAGCCCCAAAAUAUCCAGCAAGCCUGACACCCCCCAACUGCACACUCACUCACACACCCGACUGAUCAGACAGCCCCAACCUGCUGUUGAAACCGGAACAGCACAUACUUAUAUAUACACUUGCCCCCGCUCCACCCACCACAUCACCAACGUCACUUGCCACAAUGAAACAAUUGGUCGUCAUGGUGGACCCCUCGGACCCCAACACAAUCACAGAGUGGUAUUGCUGUCAGUGUGGCGAGUACCACGGCAAGCCGCCCACCCGCUACGAUUGUAAGCGAUGCACCCACGGACUGUGUCCCUACUGUCCUCGAAAGCGAGUGGGUGAUGAGAAGCAGCGUGAGUCGUGAUCUAGGCGAGGACUAGGCGAGCGGAGCGAGUCUAGGACGAGACGAGUUCUGGAUCAAGUUGCGAGUUCUGGAUCGAGUUGCGAGUUGAGUUAUUUGAGCUACUUCAAAGCCCGACACCAACGUCGAAGCCCUAUGCCAACGCCCUACGCCAAAGCCCUACGCCAAUUGAACCAGCCUGACUCCGUUCUACUCCCCCUCCCCUUCACCCUCCCUCACCGUCACGUCCCUUGCAUAGCAUAGCCAUCUGGAAUGGCCUGUAUAUAUUUAACGAUGAAGAUGAGACUGCCGUAACGUCGUGCACUAGCCCUGUGCCCGACAUGACCUUGCGUGACAAACGCAUUUUGAUCUGUCCUGCAAAUGCAGCUGCUAUGCGCGGUUUAGCAAUGCCGGUUAGAGCGAAAGAACGGGUCACGUGGAGGUUGUCAUAUUAUUUCGUCACGUGAGAUUUGUACUGGUGGUCACGAGAUUUGACAAACCUCCUACGCUUUUUAUUCGGCGAUUAUGCCGUGAUGCUUUAGGAGUUGAUGUGAUGCAGAGUGAGCAGAGUGAGCAGAGUGAGCAGAGUGAGCAGAGUGAGAAGAGUUAGCAGAGUGAGCAUGGUUUACGGGAAAGCAAAGUGUGGGUGUUGUAUGUUGCAAUAUGGGUGUCUUAUAUGAUGGAUUUGAGGUACAAGAAUGUUUGUUUCGGGCGCGAGUACUUUCUGUACGGUGGUUGUACUGGUAUCACGGAUCUGACGGUAUUGUAUGUUGUUGUCUUG
RNAcentral lists this unclassified non-coding RNA (1338 nucleotides) under Yarrowia lipolytica. The record is from RNAcentral. Lineage: Eukaryota; Fungi; Ascomycota; Dipodascomycetes; Dipodascales.